RNAcentral lists this transfer RNA (92 nucleotides) under candidate division TM6 bacterium RIFCSPHIGHO2_12_FULL_36_22. Its description in RNAcentral is "tRNA-Ser". It matches the Rfam family "tRNA". From Rfam's summary of the family: Transfer RNA (tRNA) molecules are approximately 80 nucleotides in length. The record is from RNAcentral. RNAcentral also lists the same sequence under 1 other name.
GGAGAGAUGGCAGAGUGGUCUAAUGCGACGGUCUUGAAAACCGUUAUCUCGGGGAACCGGGAUCGAGGGUUCGAAUCCCUCUCUCUCCUCCA